Molecule: ribosomal RNA, 90 nt
Filed under: Bacteroides thetaiotaomicron
Lineage: Bacteria; Pseudomonadati; Bacteroidota; Bacteroidia; Bacteroidales; Bacteroidaceae
Description: partial 23S ribosomal RNA
Source: RNAcentral
CGACGUUGAUAGGCCGGGUGUGUAAGCGCAGCGAUGCGUUGAGCUAACCGGGACUAAUGAACCGUGAGGCUUAACCUUACAACGCCGAAG